RNAcentral lists this ribosomal RNA (328 nucleotides) under uncultured eukaryote. RNAcentral's name for it is "partial 18S ribosomal RNA". It matches the Rfam family "Eukaryotic small subunit ribosomal RNA", at positions 1470 to 1796 of the family's 1831-position model. The record is from RNAcentral.
CCCUUAGAUGUCCUGGGCCGCACGCGCGUUACACUGAUGCAUUCAACGAGCUUAUAACCUUGGCCGAGAGGCCUGGGCAAUCUUGUUAACGUGCAUCGUGAUAGGGAUAGAUUAUUGAAAUUAUUAAUCUUGAACGAGGAAUUCCUAGUAAACGCAGAUCAUCAAUCUGCAUUGAUUACGUCCCUGCCCUUUGUACACACCGCCCGUCGCACCUACCGAUUGGAUGGUCCGGUGAAGCCUCGGGAUUGUGGUUCUUGCCGCUUUAUUGUGGCGUGACCGCGAGAACUUGACUAAACCUUAUCAUCUAGAGGAAGGUGAAGUCGUAACA